CAGAAGCGUAUAUUAAUGUUGUUGCAGUUAAAACGCUCGUAGUUGGAUCUUGGAAGUAGGUUAGAGCUCUGUCCGCCUGAAGGCGAGUACGGACUCUCCUCUUCUGUAUUUGGUGAUAACGCAUCCUGGGCCUUAAUUGGUUGUUGGAUGAGGCGGAGUGUUUAAAUAGCACAAAACCGAGGGCGCGCGUACGGUUCGCCGUGCGUGUUGUCAGCGUUUCACCUCAUUUACUUUGAAAAAAUAGAGUGCUCAAAGCAGACCUUAGGGUCAUUGAAUAAUUCAGCAUGGGAUAAUAGAAUAUGAGAUUGAAUUCAUUUUGUUGGUAUUAUGAAUUUAAACUAAUGAUUAAAAGGGACCGUCGGGGUGGUUUGUAUUUUUGAGCUAGAGGUGAAAUUCUUGGAUUUCUAAAAGACAAACUACUGCGAAAGCAAUCUACUAGGAGGUUCUCAUUAAUCAAGAACGAAAGUUGGGGGAUCGAAGACGAUCAGAUACCGU
Molecule: ribosomal RNA, 495 nt
Filed under: uncultured eukaryote
Lineage: Eukaryota
Description: bacterial SSU rRNA
Rfam family: Eukaryotic small subunit ribosomal RNA
Source: RNAcentral